AGGCUCGUGUAAAUUUCCCACUAGGGGUAUUUUUGAAGUUGAGCCUCAUUUCCAUAAACAUGUAGAAGAACAAGCAGAAAAUGGUUGAGAACAGAAGGAAACGAUCUCUUAUACUCCAGCAUUCAGACCCAUUGAAAUGACCUUACUUGAACAAUGUUUAGGAUCCAUGAUCAACUGGAAGAAAGACUGCAACUUUAAAAGAGGGAGAUAUUGUGUAGUGAAAUAUAAAGCACCAAGCGGGGAUAGCUCAGUUGGGAGAACGUCAGACUGAAGAUCUGAAGGUCGCGUGUUCGAUCCACGCUCAC
Humulus lupulus (European hop) is the source of this 305-nucleotide long non-coding RNA. RefSeq lists it as uncharacterized. The record is from RefSeq and is a predicted model, not a curated record. The transcript is spliced from 2 exons. NCBI's taxonomy places the organism in Eukaryota, Viridiplantae, Streptophyta, Magnoliopsida, Rosales, Cannabaceae.